RNAcentral lists this ribosomal RNA (496 nucleotides) under uncultured bacterium. Its description in RNAcentral is "partial 16S ribosomal RNA". It matches the Rfam family "Bacterial small subunit ribosomal RNA", at positions 29 to 507 of the family's 1533-position model. The record is from RNAcentral.
AUGAACGCUGGCGGCGUGCCUAAUACAUGCAAGUCGAGCGAACAGACGAGGAGCUUGCUCCUCUGACGUUAGCGGCGGACGGGUGAGUAACACGUGGAUAACCUACCUAUAAGACUGGGAUAACUUCGGGAAACCGGAGCUAAUACCGCAUAAUAUAUUGAACCGCAUGGUUCAAUAGUGAAAGACGGUUUUGCUGUCACUUAUAGAUGGAUCCGCGCCGCAUUAGCUAGUUGGUAAGGUAACGGCUUACCAAGGCGACGAUGCGUAGCCGACCUGAGAGGGUGAUCGGCCACACUGGAACUGAGACACGGUCCAGACUCCUACGGGAGGCAGCAGUAGGGAAUCUUCCGCAAUGGGCGAAAGCUUGACGGAGCAACGCCGCGUGAGUGAUGAAGGUCUUCGGAUCGUAAAACUCUGUUAUUAGGGAAGAACAAAUGUGUAAGUAACUAUGCACGUCUUGACGGUACCUAAUCAGAAAGCCACGGCUAACUACGUG